This is an RNA transcript of Populus nigra (black poplar), 3867 nucleotides long. RefSeq lists it as uncharacterized. The record is from RefSeq and is a predicted model, not a curated record. The transcript has 7 exons. NCBI's taxonomy places the organism in Eukaryota, Viridiplantae, Streptophyta, Magnoliopsida, Malpighiales, Salicaceae.
CAUUUAAACUCCCUUAACUCGGUCCUCUCUCUGAAAAAAACACAAAAACCCAACAGUCGAAAACCCAAGUAAGUUUGUUAUCCUCUCUUGUUAUGUUUCAUGUCUUUAGUUCUUGCCUUUUUGAUGUCACAAUCUUUGUCUAUGCAAAGGGGGUUUUGUCAGUUUAGAUUGUCUCUUUGAAUUUAGGAAGAUAGAAGGGAAAAGUUCAUAUUUUUGUGAGUUUGGGUAUAGAAAGAUUUAAGCUUUGGUGGUAAUUGAUUAUUGAGGUUUGUUGAAAUGGGCUCUAAUUUGGAGCCAAUUCCGAUAACAUCGCAAAAACAUGACCCGGCGUGGAAGCAUUGUCAAAUGUUUAAGAACGGAGAGAGGGUUCAGUUAAAAUGUGUGUAUUGUGGCAAGAUUUUUAAAGGAGGAGGGAUUCAUAGGAUUAAGGAACAUUUAGCUGGUCAAAAGGGUAAUGCUGCUACUUGUUUACAAGUCCCUUCGGAAGUCAGGCUUAUGAUGCAACAAAGUUUAGAUGGGGUUGUAGUUAAGAAGCGGAAGAAGCAAAAAAUUGCAGAGGAGAUAACGAAUUUGAAUCCAGUUUCUAGUGAGAUAGAGGUUUUUGAUAAGGAUGUUAAUACUGGAAUGGAGUUAACUGGGGUUUCGGAUGCUAUUGACCCUGUUUCAAGUUUGUUAGUUAGUGGAGAAGAUGGAAUGGGAAAAAAAGGCGGGGAGAGGAGGAAGAGGGGAAGGGGUAGAGGCAGAGGUUCUGUUACAAAUGCUAAAGCUGUUGUUACCAUGGGUAGUGGUAUGCCGUUAUCAGGGGGUAAAAGGAAAAACGAUCACAUUCAUAUGGCAAUAGGGAGGUUUUUGUAUGAUAUCGGGGCAUCUUUGGAUGCUGUGAACUCGGCUUAUUUUCAGCUAAUGGUUCAAGCAAUUGCUUCAGGAGGAUCAGAGGUUGUAGUGCCUUCAUACCACGAUCUUCGAGGUUGGGUACUGAAGAAUUCAGUUGAAGAAGUAAAGAAUGAUGUUGAUAAGCACAUAGCAACUUGGGAAAGGACUGGUUGUUCUGUUUUGGUUGAUCAGUGGAACACAGUAAUGGGUAGAACUCUGAUAAAUUUUUUGGUUUAUUGUCCUGAAGGAGUGGUGUUUUUGAAAUCCGUGGAUGCAUCUGAUAUUAUUAAUUUACCAGAUGCUCUUUAUGAAUUGCUUAAGCAAGUAGUUGAAGAAAUUGGAGCAAGACAUGUUUUACAAGUCAUUACUCGAAUGGAAGAGCAAUUAAUCUGUGCAGGGAGAAGGUUAGGUGAUACUUUCCCUAACCUUUAUUGGGCUCCUUGUGCAGCACAUUGUCUAGAUUUGAUACUUGAGGAUUUUGCAAAACUUGAGUGGAUAAAUUCAGUAAUUGAACAGGCUAGGUCUAUUACAAGAUUUGUAUACAAUCAUAGUGUGGUUUUGAAUAUGAUGAAAAGGUAUACUUUUGGAAAUGAUAUUGUAGAACCAGGAAUUAGUCGCUUUGCCACAAACUUUGGAACAUUGAAACGAAUGGUUGAUCUUAAACAUAACCUGCAGACCAUGGUUACUUCACAGGAGUGGGUGGACUGCCCAUAUUCAAAGAAACCUGGGGGGCUGGAAAUGUUAGAUUUGGUAAGCGAUCAGUCAUUUUGGUCAUCAUGCGUCCUAAUAACCCAUUUAACUAAUCCUCUCUUGCAAGUUUUGAGACUAGUUGGCAGCAAGAAGAGGCCUGCUAUGGGAUAUAUUUAUGCAGGAAUGUAUCGAGCUAAAGAAGCAAUUAAGAAAGAACUUAUAAAGAGGGACGAGUAUACUGUCUACUGGAAUAUUAUAGACCAUUGGUGGGAACAACAAUGGAAUCUCCCUCUUCAUGCUGCAGGUUUCUACCUUAAUCCCAAGUUCUUUUAUAGUUUUGAAGGAGAUAUGCCCAAUGAGAUUCAGUCUGGGAUGUACGAUUGCAUAGAAAAGUUUGUUCCUGACUUAAAUGUGCAAGAUAAAAUCAUCAAAGAAGUAAACUCUUACAAGAAUGCUGGUGGUGAUUUUGGGAGGAAGAUGGCUAUUAGAGCUAGGGACACUAUGCUUCCUGCUGAAUGGUGGUCAACAUAUGGAGGAAGUUGCCCAAACUUGGUGCGUUUGGCCUUCCGUAUUCUCGGUCAAACCUGCAGUUCAAUUGAGUAUAAGCGAAGCCAGAUUCCUUUUGAACAAUUGCAUGAUACAAAAAAUUGCCUGGAGCGUCAACGACUCAGUGAUCUAGUUUUUGUUCAGUGCAACUUGCGACUCAGACAAAUGGUCAAUGAGAAUGAGGAACAGGAUCCUAUAUCAUUUGAUAGCAAUAAUACAUUGAAGGACUGGGUCAAGGGAAAAGACUUGUGCUCGGAAGACUUUGAUACAUUGAAUUGGAUGGCAGUUGAUCCACCUUCUGACAAUGCAAGGCUCCUGGGAACUUCACACAGUGAAAUUGAAGACUUAGGCGCAGGGUUCGAUGAUUAUGAGAUUUUUAAUAGAGUAAAAGAGGGCGAGGAGGAAAAUGUUGAAUCAAUGUAGCUGGUCAACAGAAAAGCAUCCAAGGUACACUGGUCUCACCUGGAGUAUUUAGGACAAUCACCGAGUUGCCUAUACUAGAGAGAUAUUGUGAUCAUCUAACUUGACUCUGUGAUUGAAGUUGACACAAUUACCAAUGGAUCAGGACUUCCAUGUGUGUAAAACUAAUCACCAGGAAGACUGGUCAUGACCAGGGUGAAAGCGAGAAAAAGAUACGAUUGGCUAUGGUUCUAUUAGUAAAUGCAGCUGGGUAGUUUUUAUGUCAGAGAAAAACGCAUUUCAGUAGAUAGAUGGAUGGAUGUGGUUUUAUACAUAAGCAUGCUCUUGUACAUUUAAUCUCUUCAAAUAACUUUCAAGUCUUUCUAGUGCUAAUUUUUACUCUGCCAAGUAAAGUCACUAGCCAUUGUAACCAAUUGACCAGGGAUCAAAUCCUACUUACACAGUUACACUUGGGAUUGAACAGGAAAAGGGAGGUUGCCUCCUUUUAUGGAACCAAAGGUUCAAUUAGUCUUCUGAUGAACAAAUAAACAAAAAAAAUUUCUUCUGCAAAGUUGUAACCUUCGCACUAUCAUUUACAAAUCCAUUACAACUAAUAUUUGCAACCAUUGGAACAUAAAAGAGGCCAGCUGAAACAGAGAAUCCCUAAACUAUUGAAGAACUGGAGAGGGAUUGAGGCGGAACUUCCAAGAUUAAGUUGAAGUAACUUCAACAGUCAAACUUCAACGCAGGGAAAAGACUCCACUAGAAUUGCUCCUUUUCUUCCUCUCUCUUUUUCGCUACACUUUGUUCAACCUAUUUGCUGUCAAACUUCAACAUUUGACCUUGCUCCAGGAGAACUUGAAUAGGAGCUCGCAAGACCAAAUCAAUGCAUCGGCUUCAACUUUCUUGGGUAAAUAAGCUGUGUGUCUAUGUCGCCAGCAUCUUUGACCGGUAAAAAAGCUUCAACAAUGCCUCAUUUACUUGCGAAUUGCACAGAGUAACAGAAACAAGACGAACUUUUAAUCAACAGCUAUUGAAGGUGACUUCUAUCCAUUCCUUGUUUAUUUGUCUUUCUAGUUUUGUAUCGGUUGCUAUUACAGUGUUUUUAGGGUAACUUUGGCUUAGCGAUUUGCUUUUGUGGUUGCAAUGUGAUUAAUUUAUACAUCUGAGAUAGUGCAUUAACGCAUACACUGUGUCCCGUAUUGUAGAAAAAGGGUGAAUCCUAAGCUUAUCUACCCUCUACAAUUUCUCGUGUGUUUGUGCUGUAGAACUCAUGUGAAGUCAAAGAACAAUGUCGUGUUAAACUCGAUUCAUCUGUAUGGAAGCAACAUGCUGCGUGCCAUUCACUAUCUUGCAAAA